UAUUUUGGCCAUAUUCCGGUCAGGGCCAACUGUUGCCUGAAGAAGGGUAA
This 50-nucleotide non-coding RNA is filed under the name Citrobacter gillenii. RNAcentral's name for it is "algC RNA". It matches the Rfam family "algC RNA". The record is from RNAcentral. Lineage: Bacteria; Pseudomonadati; Pseudomonadota; Gammaproteobacteria; Enterobacterales; Enterobacteriaceae.